This 652-nucleotide ribosomal RNA is filed under the name uncultured bacterium. RNAcentral's name for it is "bacterial SSU rRNA". It matches the Rfam family "Bacterial small subunit ribosomal RNA", at positions 94 to 762 of the family's 1533-position model. The record is from RNAcentral.
AGUGGCGACCGGGUGAGUAACACGUGACUAACCUACCUUCGAGUGGGGGAUAACCUCGGGAAACCGGGGCUAAUACCGCAUAACAUCCUUGGAGUGGAAACUCUGGGGAUCAAAGGGGCAAUUCGCUUGAAGAGGGGGUCGCGGCUGAUUAGCUAGUUGGCGGGGUAAUGGCCCACCAAGGCUUUGAUCGGUAGCCGGCCUGAGAGGGCGCACGGCCACACUGGAACUGAAACACGGUCCAGACUCCUACGGGAGGCAGCAGUGGGGAAUUUUGCGCAAUGGGGGAAACCCUGACGCAGCAACGCCGCGUGGAGGAUGAAGUCCCUUGGGACGUAAACUCCUUUCGACCGGGAAGAUUAUGACGGUACCGGUGGAAGAAGCCCCGGCUAACUUCGUGCCAGCAGCCGCGGUAAUACGAGGGGGGCAAGCGUUGUUCGGAAUUAUUGGGCGUAAAGGGCGCGUAGGCGGUGCGGUAAGUCACCUGUGAAAUCUCCGGGCUUAACUCGGAGUCUGCAGGCGAAACUGCCGUGCUGGAGUAUGGGAGAGGUGCGUGGGAUUCCCGGUGUAGCGGUGAAAUGCGUAGAUAUCGGGAGGAACACCUGUGGCGAAAGCGGCGCACUGGACCAUAACUGACGCUGAAGCGCGAAAGCUA